AUGUGCUAGAAGAGAGUCCUUUUUGCUAAAUGAGAUGGCAUCUUUGAGCAGCCAGGAUGGCCAGAAACGUAUAAUUGACCCAAUUGUACAAGCCACUUGCUUGCAAGAAUCCUUAUCAAUUGUGAUUUCCAUAAUGAACAGAUGCAUUUCUCUGGAAUCAUGCAGCCGUCCUUCUAUUGAGGAUGUCCUUUGGAAUUUACAGUAUGCAGCUCAAAUUCAGGCAACAACAGUUGAUGGUGAACAAAGACAUGACACUGCAUCACAUAAAUGAUUUUUCCUCUUCUUCAUAUCAUAUUCUUCUUCCUUUUUUAGAUGUGACUCAGCUCUGCGCAAACUCGAUCUAUAUGAUCAUAUUUGUAUUUCUGUAUUUGCCAUAACAGUGGUAGAGAAUCAAUUCAGUCCCAAAUCAAUGGUAGACUGUUUUUCGUUGGAAAACUUGUAUUUGAAUUAUGGGAGAUUGCAAUAGAUUAUGGGGAGCUAAACAAUG
Long non-coding RNA from Juglans microcarpa x Juglans regia, 487 nucleotides. RefSeq lists it as uncharacterized. The record is from RefSeq and is a predicted model, not a curated record. The transcript is spliced from 2 exons. Lineage: Eukaryota; Viridiplantae; Streptophyta; Magnoliopsida; Fagales; Juglandaceae.